GGUGUAGGCGGUCGGGCAAGUCGGAUGUGAAAGCCCUUGGCUCAACUGAGGAAGUGCAUUCGAAACUGCUCGACUUGAGUAUGGGAGAGGAAGGUGGAAUUCUCGGUGUAGCGGUGACAUGCGUAGAUAUCGGGAGGAACACCGGUGGCGAAGGCGGCCUUCUGGACCAAUACUGACGCUGAGACCCGAAAGCGUGGGGAGCAAACA
RNAcentral lists this ribosomal RNA (207 nucleotides) under uncultured bacterium. RNAcentral's name for it is "partial 16S ribosomal RNA". It matches the Rfam family "Bacterial small subunit ribosomal RNA", at positions 568 to 774 of the family's 1533-position model. The record is from RNAcentral.